CAGGGAAUAUUAGAAAUGGACGAAAGUCUGAUCUAGCGACACCGCGUGUGCGAUGAAGGCCUUCGGGUUGUAAAGCACUUUUUGGGAGGAAUAGGAAGGAAGGUACUUCCAGAAUAAGUCUCGGCUAACUACGUGCCAGCAGCCGCGGUAACACGUAGGAGGCAAACGUUAUCCGGAUUUACUGGGCGUAAAGCGCGUGUAGGUGGUUCUGUAAGUAGGGCGUGAAAGCUCCCGGCUCAACUGGGAGAGGCCGUUCUAAACUGCAGAGCUAGAGGAUGGUAGAGGGAGGUGGAAUUCCAGGUGUAGCGGCGGAAUGCGCAGAUAUCUGGAGGAACACCAGUGGCGAAAGCGGCCUCCUGGACCAUUCCUGACACUCAGACGCGAAAGCUAGGGUAGCAAACGG
Molecule: ribosomal RNA, 403 nt
Filed under: uncultured bacterium
Lineage: Bacteria
Description: bacterial SSU rRNA
Rfam family: Bacterial small subunit ribosomal RNA
Source: RNAcentral